This 255-nucleotide long non-coding RNA is filed under the name Homo sapiens (human). RNAcentral's name for it is "non-protein coding lnc-EWSR1-3:1". The record is from RNAcentral. Lineage: Eukaryota; Metazoa; Chordata; Mammalia; Primates; Hominidae.
CCCGCUCCGAGCUGCCAGGCCCGCGCCUUAUUUGGGUCUUGUCUCCUCCCAGACAACAUUUCGUGGCCUUAAAAGGAAGGCCUGGGGGGCUGAGGGGGGCAGUUGCCAGUGCUGGCUCCACAGCCUCUCCAGCUAUGCCCCCGCCCCUGGUUUGGCCAGUCCAUCCCUCCAGCUGUGGAGAAAACCAGUCCCCCAAAACCAGACCAGCCAGGGCGGCUGGGGAGGGUGAGGGGGGUUCUCCUCCGGUAGGGGUGG